RNAcentral lists this ribosomal RNA (159 nucleotides) under Phaeophyscia poeltii. RNAcentral's name for it is "5.8S ribosomal RNA". It matches the Rfam family "5.8S ribosomal RNA". Rfam says of the family: 5.8S ribosomal RNA (5.8S rRNA) is a component of the large subunit of the eukaryotic ribosome. It is transcribed by RNA polymerase I as part of the 45S precursor that also contains 18S and 28S rRNA. Lineage: Eukaryota; Fungi; Ascomycota; Lecanoromycetes; Caliciales; Physciaceae. The record is from RNAcentral.
AAAACUUUCAACAACGGAUCUCUUGGUUCCCGCAUCGAUGAAGAACGCAGCGAAAUGCGAAAACUAAUGUGAAUUGCAGAAUUCCGUGAAUCAUCGAGUCUUUGAACGCACAUUGCGCCCUUUGGUAUUCCGAAGGGCAUGCCUGUCCGAGCGUCAUUG